AUUGGGAAGAGGAUAAGAAGGAAGGAUGGGAGGGGAGGAGUAACAAAAGUGAAAACAAAAACUUGAAAGGGAAAACAAUUUCAAAUAGAUUUCAAAUUUUAGUUUUUGUUUUCACUUUUGUUACUCCUCUUUCACAUCCUCCCCUCUCAUCUUCCCUCUCAAU
RNAcentral lists this microRNA precursor (163 nucleotides) under Prunus dulcis (almond). RNAcentral's name for it is "sRNA ncRNA". Lineage: Eukaryota; Viridiplantae; Streptophyta; Magnoliopsida; Rosales; Rosaceae. The record is from RNAcentral.